CCAGUCGGCCGGGCAGUCGCGUCCUCGAUGCUCGCAUCGGGGCCGAGGAAAGUCCGGGCUCCAACCGGCACGGUGGUGGGUAACGCCCACCCGGAGCGAUCCGCGGGACAGUGCCACAGAGAGCAGACCGCCGCAGCCGCUUCGGCGGCAGCGGUAAGGGUGAAAGGGUGGUGUAAGAGACCACCGCGGCCUCGGUGACGAGGUCGGCACGGCAAACCCCACCGGGAGCAAGGUCAGACAGGGAACGCUGAGGGCGCCGGCCCGAGUUCCCGGGUAGACCGCUGGAGGUUGUCGGCAACGGCGAUCCGAGAUGGAUGACUGCCGAUCACAGAACCCGGCUUACAGGCCGACUGGUCCA
Non-coding RNA from Brachybacterium muris, 358 nucleotides. It matches the Rfam family "Bacterial RNase P class A". From Rfam's summary of the family: Ribonuclease P (RNase P) is a ubiquitous endoribonuclease, found in archaea, bacteria and eukarya as well as chloroplasts and mitochondria. Its best characterised activity is the generation of mature 5'-ends of tRNAs by cleaving the 5'-leader elements of precursor-tRNAs. Cellular RNase Ps are ribonucleoproteins. The record is from Rfam. NCBI's taxonomy places the organism in Bacteria, Bacillati, Actinomycetota, Actinomycetes, Micrococcales, Dermabacteraceae.